AUUGAACGCUGGCGGCAGGCCUAACACAUGCAAGUCGGACGGUAGCACAGAGGAGCUUGCUCCUCGGGUGACGAGUGGCGGACGGGUGAGUAAUGUCUGUGGAUCUGCCCGAUAGAGGGGGAUAACCACUGGAAACGGUGGCUAAUACCGCAUAACGUCGCAAGACCAAAGAGGGGGACCUUCGGGCCUCUCACUAUCGGAUGAACCCAGAUGGGAUUAGCUAGUAGGCGGGGUAACGGCCCACCUAGGCGACGAUCCCUAGCUGGUCUGAAGGGAUGACCAGCCACACUGGAACUGAGACACGGUCCAGGCUCCUACGGGAGGCAGCAGUGGGGAAUAUUGCACAAUGGGCGCAAGCCUGAUGCAGCCAUGCCGCGUGUAUGAAGAAGGCCUUCGGGUUGUAAAGUACUUUCAGCGGGGAGGAAGGCGAUGUGGUUAAUAACCGCAUUGAUUGACGUUACCCGCAGAAGAAGCACCGGCUAACUCCGUGCCAGCAGCCGCGGUAA
Molecule: ribosomal RNA, 506 nt
Filed under: uncultured bacterium
Lineage: Bacteria
Description: partial 16S ribosomal RNA
Rfam family: Bacterial small subunit ribosomal RNA
Source: RNAcentral